This 301-nucleotide ribosomal RNA is filed under the name uncultured bacterium. Its description in RNAcentral is "partial 16S ribosomal RNA". It matches the Rfam family "Bacterial small subunit ribosomal RNA", at positions 509 to 807 of the family's 1533-position model. The record is from RNAcentral.
CAGUCGCCACGGGAAUACGAAGGGGGCUAGCGUUGUUCGGAAUCACUGGGCGUAAAGGGUGCGUAGGCGGGCAUUUAAGUCAGGGGUGAAAUCCCGAGGCUCAACCUCGGAACUGCCCUUGAUACUGGGUGUCUUGAGUCCGGAAGAGGUGAGUGGAACUGCGAGUGUAGAGGUGAAAUUCGUAGAUAUUCGCAAGAACACCGGUGGCGAAGGCGGCUCACUGGUCCGGAACUGACGCUGAGGCACGACAGCGUGGGGAGCAAACAGGAUUAGAUACCCCCGUAGUCCCUGUCUCUUAUAC